Molecule: non-coding RNA, 1298 nt
Organism: Benincasa hispida (wax gourd)
Lineage: Eukaryota; Viridiplantae; Streptophyta; Magnoliopsida; Cucurbitales; Cucurbitaceae
Source: RefSeq, a predicted model, not a curated record
GUCGGUUAAAAGGGGUCUCAAAAUAGGGGUGGUUUUGCUAAGUCGGUGUAAGGAACUCUCUCGAGCAUAUCCUCAAUUUUCUUUGAUGAAGUUGCAGAGGGACCAGAGGAAAAGAAUUUCGAGGGUUAUCGGAGCGUUCGGUGUUGAAGAAGAUGGUGAAAACAACGAAAAAUUUGAGGUGAUUCUGCUGUUCUGACAGAUUGAGCAAGCUUCAGUAUUUUUAAAGAUUUAGAGCUGUAGAAAACGAUUUAGGAUCUGAACUUUUAAGGUAAGCUCGUCAACACACUGCUUAACAAUUCGUAUGAAGGAUAGUUGAGAUAAUUCCGAUUGGAAAUGGCUGGAAUGAUAGAAAAACAGAAGAUGAUCAGAUUUUCGGGCAAACCUGAGCAAGCUGCGUUUUUUUUGAGAAUUCCCGGCCAUAGAAAAGGAAUCAGAAGCUGAAAUUUUUAGGAAAAUUGAAGCUACUCGGAAAUUCGGUCAAAACAGAGCAGUGGAGUUUUGGAACUGAUUCCGAGUUAUUCACGAGUUUUUGAAGCCUCAAACUCUCAGUUUAGCUAAUUAAGAUGUUGAUUAAACGAUUUAUGCAAGAAAUUUGAAGUUAUUUGGUUAGAAAUUGAUGAACUUAAGUCUGAAAGUGCUGCUGGAAAACAGGGCCGAAAUUGAGGCUGAAGGUUGAAGAUGAAAUCUGACCAUCAUCUACUGCUUGUCAUUAAAGGGUCAAAUGAAGAUAGGUGAGGUGCAUCGACCUGAGAGGACAAGCUAGGAUCGAGCUAUAAUUUAAGAAUGAAUAUGGGAGUGAUAUGAAAUUGCUGAUUUGUCGAUGAAUGUUCAUCCUGGCGUCGGAAAAGGAAAUGGGAAACUACUUGCACAUAUUGGACAUGCACAGGGCUUCGUUGUUGUAUCUUGAUCAAGUACAAAAAAUGCAGGACUCAAAUUAGUACACCCUGGACAAACUGGAUUGUCGAUCGACAUCACAACUUCGUAAAACGGGGAUAAAUUUUGAGAGAAGCAGAACAAGCAGCGUUAUGGACGUGUCUUUUGACUUGAGAUAGGUGAAAAGCGGAGAACCUGAGUUGUGAGAAGAUCUUGAGAUAGGUGACAUCAAGUUUAAGGGGAGUCUACACAAAAUGCCUAUCUAAGGUUUACUGUAUUACAUGAUAGUGGUUUUAUCAGAUAAGUGGUAUUCCUUGUAAACCUUUUGAAUAUUAUUACCUUCUUUUCAAUUGGAUCCUGAGCCCCUCAGAUGUAGGUAAAGUUAUACCGAACUGGGUUAACAUAUUGUGUGUUAUUUCUCUCUC